AGGAAGUGAUAUGGCUGGGCAGGGAAAGGGAUGUAAGGCGGGAGGAGACAGGAACUCUCUCUCACUCAGGCUGAGGAGUUGGUGAGGUAAGAGGUGGUGGCGGUGGCUUGCUCUGCUUCUCUGACCUUUCGGCUUUCACCCUGAUGUCUAGCUCCGGGUUUUUAUCACAAGACCAUGUAGGAUUUGUAGAAGAAGACUCCCUUCCAGAUGAUUUUAGACUGUCUCGGGUUGGCAAAAGCAACUCCACCGCUCUUUUUUUUCCAUGAGAUUCUUUCAUGCUUUUCUCCCCCGGCGUGAUGGCUUUCAUAUGGCUUUUUUUGUGCACACGUUUGUGUCUCCUCUUCUUUCUCCCCCUCCUCCAUCCUCCCCUCUUUCCCCUUCCUCCCUCGCCAGCCCCACUUCCGCUUCCGGGUCACGUGCCCUCUAGUACACUCUUCCAUCCACCCUCUCCUAAGAUUUCUUUCCCUCUCCUCAUGGUCCCACUUGUGAUUCAUGGCCUAUGACCUCCUACACACAUAUACAUAUCUAUUAAUUAGACUCUGGGGUCUGCAUAUGAGAGAAAACAUCGAUCUGUCUUUCUGAGUCUGAAAUGUUGGUUUUAUGCAGCAGUGCAAUAUUAUUCAUUAAGCGGCGCUGUUACCAUGCAAGAAAAGCCAUGAGGCACAACAAAACCCACUCUGAGAGUUUAUUAGAAGGGGGGAGAGGAGAGGGCGUGCUCAGGCCUGUUUGAAAGACAUUUGCAGAGAGAGAGGAAGAAGGAGAAGGGGGAAGAAAAAGCAGGGGGGAGGGGUCUGUGACCUGCACAUGCGCAUAUGGGCUACUCCACGCAUGCACACGGAUUCCAUGCUCAUGCUGUGCACGGAUUACGUAGGACAGGACGUAAGGCUCUGGGAUGACUAACCGUUUUUGCCAGCGCAUGUGCGGUCAUGUAGCUGGGGGAGUGGCCAAGGGCCACGAAUUCCAACAUGAAAUAUUUCACUCAGCCUAACAAUUUACAGUUCUAUUCCUUUUCCUGCAAAUGUGACUGCAUUCUUUUUUUCCUGGCUAAAUAAAAUUCCACUGUGCACAUGCACCGCAUUCUUACCUAUUCAUCUGUUGAUGGACACCGAGCCUACUCCAUGUGAUAGUCCUUCUUUAAAGGGAGGGAUGGCGCAAUGGUUAAGAGCACUUGCUCUUGCAGAAGACUCAGACUCAGUUCCCAGUGCCCACAUGGCCCUCACAACUGCUCCCUAUCUCAGAUUCCAGAGAACCCAAUGCCUUCUUCUGGCCUCCCCUGGCACCAGACCUGCAUGUGGUACACACUUCACACACAUACAGGCAAAACACUCAUGUACAUGAAAUAAAAAAAAUACUAAGUUUCAAAAAGGUGAUUCAUUAAUUUCAAAUGGAGAAAACACUCCAAACAUUUGUGGUUCCAAAGCCAAGAGCGGUGUUGCUAAGUAGAGGAAAUGAGAAGGUAAUUUUAACCUUAUUUUUAAAGAAACAGUAUGUAACUAUCCCAUCAUGGAUGUAUUAGAUGAAGAAUAAACCAUGACAAAUACUAACUGCCUACUGGGCAGCUUGGUUGAAGUAAAGGAAAAUGGGACUGUCUGAAGUUUUACAUGAACCCUUACCCUUGCCCUAAUUAUAUAUAUAUUCUGUGAUAGGUCUUGUAUCCAGGGGUUAUCACAUCCCAUAUGACAAGAUGAAGGGUCAACUUGCUACCCUUCCUGUGUUAAAUCGUAGACGAUCAUCUGUCCCUUUAACACAGAGGGCUUCUCCAGGGUUGUCUCCAUCACUGGAUGGAUGUUCUCUCUUUCAGAGUGUUCUUCUCCGUCCAAAGAAGCAGAUGAGCCAAGUUCUCAGAUCCUUUACCGGAGGCGGGAAGAUGGCUCUGAAGUAAAAUGUUUUCCACACAGCCUGAGGACCUGAAUUUGCUCCCCAGGACCCAUGAGAAGAACUAGAUGUGGAGACAGAAGUUUGUGGUCCCAGGGCUGGAAGACAGACAAACAGAUCCUUGGAAUUUGCUGGCCGGCCAGCCUAGCCUACUUGGAGAUCACUUCCUAAAUAUAACACCAGCGGCACAGACACUGAGCACAACAAUUAAUAAAUGGGAUCUCUUGAAACUGAGACGCUUUUAAAGGGCAAAAGAGACAGUCAAUGAGACAAAAAGACAGCCUACAGAAUGCGUGAGGUCUUCUGUUCAAUUACUAGUGCUAAAAAAACUAUACUGCAUUAGAACAAAUGAGAAAAGGUUCAUUAUGACUGGGGAUUAGAUGAGGCUAUGAAAUUAUUAUUAACAUCCUUAGAUGUGAUGAUAUAAUCAUGAUUUAUACCUUCAUCAACCCCACAUCUGACAGAGG
Peromyscus maniculatus bairdii (prairie deer mouse) is the source of this 2342-nucleotide non-coding RNA. Lineage: Eukaryota; Metazoa; Chordata; Mammalia; Rodentia; Cricetidae. The record is from RefSeq and is a predicted model, not a curated record.